UGACAAUUGUAGGCGGGCCAAGAGUAGUC
This 29-nucleotide non-coding RNA is filed under the name Mus musculus (house mouse). The record is from RNAcentral. Lineage: Eukaryota; Metazoa; Chordata; Mammalia; Rodentia; Muridae.